This 500-nucleotide ribosomal RNA is filed under the name uncultured bacterium. RNAcentral describes it as "partial 16S ribosomal RNA". It matches the Rfam family "Bacterial small subunit ribosomal RNA", at positions 30 to 523 of the family's 1533-position model. The record is from RNAcentral.
AUUGAACGCUGGCGGAAUGCUUUACACAUGCAAGUCGAACGGCAGCACGGACUUCGGUCCGGUGGCGAGUGGCGAACGGGUGAGUAACAUAUCGGAACGUAUCCAAUAAUGGGGGAUAACGAGUCGAAAGAUUCGCUAAUACCGCAUACGCCCUACGGGGGAAAGCUGGGGACCUUCGGGCCUGGCGUUAAUGGAGCGGCCGAUAUCUGAUUAGCUAGUUGGUGGGGUAAAGGCUCACCAAGGCGACGAUCAGUAGCUGGUCUGAGAGGACGACCAGCCACACUGGAACUGAGACACGGUCCAGACUCCUACGGGAGGCAGCAGUGGGGAAUUUUGGACAAUGGGCGCAAGCCUGAUCCAGCCAUUCCGCGUGAGUGAAGAAGGCCUUCGGGUUGUAAAGCUCUUUCGCAAGGGAAGAAAACUUAGCCACUAACAUUGGUUGAGGUUGACGGUACCUUGAUAAGAAGCACCGGCUAACUACGUGCCAGCAGCCGCCGCUG